RNAcentral lists this long non-coding RNA (14600 nucleotides) under Homo sapiens (human). Its description in RNAcentral is "non-protein coding LINC02100:22". The record is from RNAcentral. Lineage: Eukaryota; Metazoa; Chordata; Mammalia; Primates; Hominidae.
GCAUUUCUCUAAUCGAGCUGUAACACUUGCUGCUGCGGUCCAUGGCUCCAUUCCUUGAAGCCCACGAGACCAGGAACCCUUGGAUUGAGAAAAAACCUUCAAUUGGGAGGAUACUUCUUAUCUCAUUUCUAGGGGCCCAUCCGGGAUUUCUCCACAGCACUCAAGCUGAGCUUUCACUCUCUGUCCACCACUGCUGUUUGCCACUGCCGCAGACACGCGCUGACUUCCAUCCCUUCGGAUCCGGCAGGGUGUCCUCUGUGCUCCUGAUCCAGUGAGGUGCCCAUUGCUGCUCCCGAUCCGACUAAAGGCUUGCCAUUGUUCCUGCAUGGCUAAGUGCCCAGGUUCGUUCUAAUCGAGCUGAACACUAGUCACUGGGUUCCACGGUUCUCUUCCAUGACCCACGGCUUCUAAUAGAGCUAACAGAGCUGUAACACUCACCGCAUGGCCCAAGAUUCCAUUCCUUUGAAUCCGUGAGGCCAGGAACCCCAGGUCAGCUACCACCAGGCUAGCCACCAUCUUGGAAACAGCUUGCGGCCAUUUUGGAAGCGUCCCAUUACCGUCUUGGUAGCUCUGGGAGCAAGGACCCCCAGUAACAUGAGGACUCACACAGACUAGUGAGGGGAGCCAGUGGCAAACUGUAAGAUGUGCCACUGAGAUCCCCCUUCAAGUUCAGUUCUUCAGAGUCUGCUUCAGCUGCGUGAAGUGCUUUUACCCUAAGUCUCCCCAUCUUCUUCAGACCAGCCGGCAUACAGCAACUGAGCAGGGAUUUGUGGCUCUUCACGAAGAUAAAUAUUUAUCACCAAACAAUGUAAACUUCCCACAUGACAACGAGCAACUACCAUCUUGUCUUCAGGAUAUUUUUGUAGAUUUGAAAGGCAGUAGAAGCCGGGGACAGGGGCUCACGCCUGUAAUCCCAGCACUUUGGGAGGCUCUGGCGGUGGAUUACUUGAGGCCAGGAGGUCAAGACCAGCCUGGCCAACAUGGCAAAACCCCAACUCUGCUAAAAAAUACAAAAAUUAGCCCAGGGUGGUGAUUCGUGCCUGUAGUCCCAGACACUGGAGAGGCUGAGACAGGAGAAUCGUUUGAACCUGGGAUGCGGAGACUGCAGUGAGCCAGGUCCAAAAAAAAAAAAAAAAAAAAAAAAGAAAAAAGAUCAUAGAUAUUAAUUAGUUCAGCAGGCUGAUGUUAAAAAGUAAAACUAUGGCUAAGACAACUAAAAUGACAAGAUCAGAUAUACAUAGCCAGUUUAUCACUGAGAACACUUUUGAGAUAAUAGUGGAAAAUAUAUAUUUAUUUAGUACGUGCAUACAAUCCUUAUUAGCAUGCCCAUAAGAACAUGAGUAAAUAUGCUUGUAAAUAAGGCAUCAAAUUAGGGCCAACAUUUAAAAUAUAAAAUUGUUUUUAACAUUCUCCUUAAUAAGGAGAGAAAGUACACAUUCCAAAUGUGUCUUAGAAAUAAUAUUAUUCUAAAAACAUUCAUUGUUAUCAUGUACCAUUGCUUUAAGAGGUUUGUAAGAUCCAUUUCAGUUAUGACAUUAAAAUAGAACAGAUAAUUACAAAAAAUCCGAAUUGACAUUUCUUGCAAAUGUUUUAAGCCUAGGAUUCCAUCAAGGUAUUAAUAACCAAUUUAUUUUAAUAAAACCUUUCCAUUUUCCAUACAUAAAAUGUUUCAAAUUUCCCUUCAAAUAGUAACAGUGUAAUAUCUAUUUUAAAAAAUUACUGUUUAAUUAAAAAUUUUACCUUAUAUUGUUGGAAUACAGGGAAACACAUUUUAAAAUAUUAUAUACAUAAGACACAUUUAGCUCAAACACUGUAAAGAGUUUGAACAACUCUUGCUUUGUAUGCAAUAGAAGACAUUUUAGUGAAUCUACGUUGACAUACAAGCCAAGGGGUGAUAUUAAUAGUAAUGCAAAAUAAGAUAUACUUGAUUUUAUCAUGACUCUUAAACUAACCAAAAUACUUUUAUUUAAAAGAAAAGCACGGAGUUUAAACAAUUAAUAUUCACUCCAAACCAAGAUUAGUACAAGCUCAUGUCUCAAGAUUUCUAAUCUACUUAGAGCAAUUUUGAUAAGGAAAUAAAAAUCAAUGAUAUGGUUACCCAACGAAAACCCACUUUCAUAGCUAAAAAAAAAAGAUAUGUGCUGUUGUAUAACUUAACUGAUAUUUUAAAAUUACAUAAUUUAUGAGAGUUACUUCCUUAAAAUUAUCUCUCUCUCACUUUCUGUCCUCUCUCUCCCUGUUUUGUCUUUCUUGAUGCUAUUUAUAACUGUUAAGUGCCUAACCUAACUUCCUGUACUUGUACUGGUUUUAGGAUGUGUAUAAAUAAAUUUUAUAGAGAUGUCAUUGUAUCAUUUUAAAUUAUGGACAUCUAUUCAGUUAGUUAUGUUUUUUAAAGGAGAUGAGAAAGAAAACACUUUCUGAAUCUACAAAGUAUUCUUAUUUCUGAUGUUACUGUCUUUAUUCCAUUCUGUUAAUCAUAGUAUAAUCUCUCUUUGAAGUAUAAAAUAGUUGAGGAUCAGUUUUACGCCAGAAUUUAUAAGCUAUCAUGCUGAAAUCCUCCAAACCAGUAAGCACAUCAUAAACACACAAUGGAUAAUGGUAGUUUCAAUGGUCUCUGAAGUUGGUUUGGAUGUUAACAUAGCUCCAUCAUCUACUGUGUUACCUAAGGUAGUUCUUAAUAGCUCUGAGUCUUGGUAUAGCCAUUUGUAAAUUAUAAAAAGAAAAUCAAUAGCGCUACUAUAAUUGAGGCUAUUGUGAGAAUUAAAAUAAAAUGUAAUAUAAAAAUAAAAUACUAAAACAGUUUUUAACUUUAGUAGAUGCUGUCUAAACAUGUAGGUGCAAUCUUAUUAUUCUUGCUAGAUUAAAAUUAGCAACAGAAACUGAAAAUCAAAUAGAAGAUAUUAUUUUAUAACACUAUUUUCAGUUACCUUACAUGCUCUGAACAUGUAACACCAGCUCUAGUUCUGUAAAAUCUUAAGGAUUUAAUGUGAGCUACAGUAUUAAAAAUCACUUAAAUAAUGAUCCUCAUCCGCAGCGGAAUCUAUUUCAUGUUUAACGAGGUAUGUGUUUUGGAUUUCAUCCACGUCUGACAAAGCAGAGGCAUGGGCAUCAGUGUGUUUUGCAUUUUUUUGUGUGUUUUAUUUACUUAUAUUUUUUCUCACUGAAAUAUCCUAACUCAAACUUGUUGGCUUUCAUUAAUACUUAUGUUUAUAACAAUGUAUUGUAAUCUCUACCCCCAACAAACACACACAUUUAAAAUGUGAGGUUAGUAUUAAAAUUGGAUGUUUGUACUGAAACACAUUAUAUACUUCCCAAACUAUGUGUCUUUAUAACACAGAUGUUAAUUAGAAUAAAUAUGAAUAUUAAAAUGUUACCGAAAGGAAGAUAGUAAAUUCAUUUUCUUCAUUUAUUCUUCCCUAUUCAUGUGUCAGAGAAAGUUCUCAAACAUUGGGUCAUAUUUUGCAGAAAGAAGGACAUUUUCCUAGAGUACUAAUGAAGGACUUGAAGGCUUUUUCAGUUGGCUCUGAUUUUUACCUCACCACAUUGCCACUUCCCCUCGAUGCUGCCAGAAGGCCCUUAACUUUACUCCUCCAUUGAGUCCCUUUGGUCAUCUGGGCUGGCUUGAGUCACCUGCAGAAAGCAAGCCUUCUAAUCUUCACUUGGGACACUGGUAAUCUGUUUGUGAAGCUGUUUAAACACCAUCAGUUUCUUCCAGACUCCUUCCCUUUCACCUCUACUUGAACAUAUUAGUGUGUUACAAUUCUUUUUUUGUUUGUUUGUUUGAGACAGAGUUUCACUCUUGUUGCCCAGGCUGGAAUGCAGUGGAGCAAUCUCCGCUCACUGAAACCUCCGCCUUCCGGUUUCAAGCAAUUCUCCUGCCUCAGCCUCCUGAGUAGCUGGAUUACAGGCGCUUGCUACCACACCCUACUAAUUUUUGUAUUUUUAGUAGAGACGGGGUUUCACCAUGAUGGCCAGGCUGGUAUCGAACUCCUAACCUCGUGAUCCACCGGCCUCAGCCUCCCAAAGUGCUGGGAUUACAGGCGUGAGCCACCGCGCCCGGCCUUGUGUUACAAUUCUUUACCUGCCAAAUGGACCCUUUUGUGAGGAAAACAUGAGCAAAGAAUUAGAUGACCGAGUUUGGGAAGUCUGCAGUCUGAUAAUCUAUAAUCUGCAACAUUGCUCCCAGCAAUGUUUCAUGUGCACUCAAAUAGGCCACAUUAGCAUGGACUAUCUUUUCUCUCUCUCUUAGCCUAGCCUUGAUUCUUAUGUCAGCUGAGCCAAGUUGUAAUUCAUGUACGUCACUGACAAGAAAAGGGAAGCUGGUCAGAGGUAAUUAGUCCUACCUGUUGCUAUAGUUUGAGGCAGUACCUCCACAAUUCAGGUGCUGCCAAUAUGAUGGUAUUAAGAGGUGGGGCCUUUCAGAGCUGAUAAGUCCAUGAGGGCUUGUUACGUACCUCAUGAAGGUGAUUGAGUCCCUCAUAAAAGGGCUUGGCAGAGGGAAUUCCUCCCUUUUUCCUUUCCACCUUCAGUCCUAUGAGGACACAGUGCUCCUCCCCUCUACAGGAUUUAGUGUUCAAGGCACCAUUUUGUAAGCAGACAACAAACCUGCUGGCACAUUGAUCCUACACUGCUUGGUCUCCAGAAGGGUGAGAAAUAAAUUCUUGUUCUUUAUAAAUUACCCAGUCUGUGGUAUGUUGUUAUAGCAACACAAAUGGACUAAGACAUUUAUAGAGGCUGAAUUUCCUUGUGUCUAUCUUCUAUAUAGACCGUGUAUCAUCUUUGUCUUCUUAAAGCAUGCAAGAGAGAAAUGGAUAAAUGCAACUGGGCUCUUCUAAUUACUGGGAGAUAAAUUAUAACACUUCACAUCUCUACUUCCCAAAAUCUGGUUAUCUCUUACAGGAUAAUGUUAUAUUAUGCUAAAAUCAUAAUCCUUUCCUAGAAUCACCUUUGAAAAUGCUACAUUCUUUCUUUCUUCUUAUACACCUAACAGUGUUAUAGUAAUUAUGAUAUCAUUUAUAUGGUAUCUUAAUAAUCAACUAAAUAAAUUUGCUAAUUAUUGUAAUAAAACUAAUGCAUUUGGCAGAAAGGAACAUGUUUACAUAUAAGGACUUUAAAAUUUUAAUUUCCCUGACUGACGCUUCUUUUUAAAUACAUUUAUUCCAUUCCAAUUUAUUCUACAGUUGAAAGACUAAGAUUAGUCAAAGACAAAUUUUACCAUUUCAGAGAUUUAUUCAAACAUUUCCAAAACCUCCUUUUUCCUUAAUAACCCAAAUUCCAGUCCCAAUUUGGCAUCUGAAGUGCCUAAAAAUAGCGUGUGAUUAUUCCACAGAGCCCUUGAUCAUUGCAGUCCAGAAAUCUUUAAUGAUGACAGAUGAUGAAGGCAUGAGAACCACAGGGAAACAGAAUGGCCUCUGCAUUCCCUCUCCUAAGUCUGUUUGCCUCUACAAUUAUAGCCAGGGUGCCAUUCAAAAAUUAGCUUGAACACAACCUUUAACAUGGGUGAUGUGUGAUCCCCAUCCACAACCUACCUCCUGACAUUGCCUGAUAAUUGCUAAGACUCCAUCUCAUAGGUUACAGGAGCUACAUAAAUUUAAGAUGCCAUUUCUUGAUUAUAAGGGAGGUUUUUGGUCAAAUGUAGUUAAUAGCUUCACCUUUCAAGAUGACUUUUUUCUCUCAUAGACUGAGCAACACAGCUGACCUUAUUCAUAUAAUAAAAUGCCAUCCUGUCACAUAAGCUUGCAAACAUUCCAAAACAAGCUCAUUAGCAAAUAAUGAUGCCAAAAGAGUAACUUUUUAAAUGUCAAUAAAUACAUUUUACAUCCUUCAGAUAAUCUGUGAAACGUAACAGAUAAUUACCAGAGCUAUGCCUUUCUCUGCAAAGUUUUGAAAAAUUCUGUGAAAUUUAAGUUAUAUUUAAAACGUAAAGCACAUCAAUGAUUCUUUUUCUCCCAGUAUGAAAGAUUUUUAAUGAGAUUCUAAACCUAAGUGACCUAUUUACACAAACUCAACUGCUAGAUAAUGAGAAUGAGAAGGUGGUAAAAAUUUCAGUAAUAUAACCUCUAAUUCAAACCUUAAGUAUGUCUUCAAAAUACCUCAGAAAUACUUCCUACUCAAGUCUACACACACACAUGCACACCCACACAUGCACACACAUCAUUCAAGACAGGAAUAUUGAAAAAAAAAUCACCAUUGUUAAAAUGUCAUCUAUUCUGUGUACCAUCGACCUUGAAAUGUGUGGGCGGCAAGCCACCCGGGUGCCAAGGCAAGAUACUGAAGGCACAAGCUGUUCCAGUAUAAUAAAGAAAAUAUACAAAAUAAGAAGAGUUAUAAUAGAAAUAUAGAUAUGAUUAUAUAUGAAUAUUAUUAAUCAUCAGUUUGUAGCAUUACUCUUUAUUCCAAUAUUAUAAUAAUCCUUGCUCUACAAUUAUAACCUAGGAAAAACCAGGCCAUACAGAGAUAGGAGCUGAAGGGGCAUGGUGAGAAGUGACCAGAAGAUGAGUGUGAGCCCUCUGUCAUGCCUGGAUAGGGCCACUAGAGGGCUCCUUGGUCUAGCGGUAACGCCAGUGCCUGGGAAGGCAGCCGUUACUUAGCCGACCAAGAAAGGGAGUCUCCCUCUCUCCUGGGGAGUUAGAGAAGACUCUGCUCCACCACCUCCUGUGGAAGGCCUGACAUCAGUCAGGCCCGCCCACAGCCAUCGGGAGGCCUAAAUGUCUCACUGUGAUGCUGUGCUUCAGCGGUCACGCUCCUGUUUCACUUUCAUGUUCCACCCUAUACAUCUGGUUCUGCCUUCAAGCAGUAGCAGAAUUAGUGAAAGUACUAAAAAAGCCUUUGAAAUGCAUAGAAUAAUGGCCUAAGCUGUCCUCUCCGCCUUGGCUGCCAAACAGGGAAGGGCCCCCUCUCCCGUGGACACAUGACUCACGUGACCUUAUCAAUCAUUGGAAAUGACUCACACUCCUUACCCUGCCCCUUUUGUCUUGUAUCUAAUAAAUAACGGCGAAGCCAGGCAUUCGGGGCUACUACCGGUCUCCCCGUCUUGGUGGUAGUGGUCCCCCGGGCCCAGCUGUCUUUUCUUCUAUAUCUUUGUCUUGUGUCUAUUUCUAUGAUCUCCCGUCUCUGCACACGAGGAGAAAAACCCACAGACCCUGUAGGGCUGGCCCCUACAAAAUGCUGCAUUUUGGCUACAUGAUAUGGUUUGGCUGUGUCCCCGUCCAAAUCUAUCUUGAAUUGUAGCUCCCAUAAUUCCCAUGUGUUGUGGGAGGAACCUGGUGAGAGAUAAUUGAAUCAUGGGGACAAUUUCCCCCAUACUGUUCUCGUGGGAGUGAAUAAGUCUCACGAGACCUGAUGGUGUUAUAAUGGGAAACCCCUUUCGCUUGGUUGUCAUUCUCUGUCUGCCACCAUGAUUUGAGGCCUCCCCAGCCACGUGGAACUGUGAGUCCAUUAAACCUCUUUUUCUUUAAUAAUUACUCAGUCUUGGGUGUGUCUUUAUCAGCAGCAUGAGAACAGACUAAUACACUACGUUAAUGAGGAAGUGCUAUAGUUUACUAGGGUUCAGUUUAGUUCAACAAGUUUCCUAAAUAUCCAAAAGGGGUUAAACAUGGUUCUAAGCUAUGGGUAAAUACAAAUUGCUAUAUUUUAAAAUUGCAGGCUGGGCGUAAUCCCAGCACUUUUGGAGGCCGAGGUGGGCGGAUCACGAGGUCAGGAGAUCGAGAUCAUCCUGGCUAACAUGGUGAAAACCCAUCUCUACAAAAAUUACAAAAAUAUAAAAAAUUAGUCGGGGCGUGAUGGCGGGCGCCUGUAGUCCCAGCUACUCCGAAGGCUGAGGCAGGAGAAUGGCGUGAACUCAGGAGGCGGAGCUUGCAGUGAGCCGAGAUCGUGCCACUGCAUUCCAGCCUGGGUGACAGAACAAGACUCCAUCUUAAAAAAAAAAAAAAAAAAAAAAAUUGCAAUAAGCUGGCAAAUAUAAUUGUAAAUUAGUAUAAUAAAAUGACUAUUUGAAGUCUUCAUAAAUGAGGGAAUAUUUUAGCAAUAUUUAAGAAUUAUUUGAAAUCAAUUUCCUAGGGAUGGAGAUUAAAGAAUGUAUUCCAUGAAGAAGAAACUGCAUAGUGUAGAAAGGAGGUGGUUCACGCCUGUAAUCACAGCACUUUGGGAGGCCGAGAAGGGUGGAUCACGAGGUCAGCAGUUCAAGACCAGCCUGACCAACAUAGUGAAACCCCGUCUCUACUAAAAAUACAAAAAUUAGCCGGGCGUGGUGGCAUGUGCCUGUAAUCCCAGCUACUAGGGAGGCUGAGGCAAGAGAAUCGCUUGAACCUGGGAGGCAGAGGUUGCAGUGAACCGAGAUAGCACCACUGCACUCUAGCCUGGGCGACAGAGCGAGACUCUGUCUCAAAAAAAAAAAAAAAAAAAAACCAGAAAGGAGGCAUGGAAUAAUAUACCUUUGAAGAAGAAAAAACAGUCUCUCUUAAGGCUGUAUAUUUCAAGGAUUUAAUCAUUUUAGACAAAGAUAAUGCCAAAUGACCAAAUGACCAUUAUUUGCAGAUGUUUUAAUGGUCAUAAAUGUUUUCCUAGGAUUUUGUAGAGUGAGAAAAAUAAGUUCUUGUAGUGUGGAGCAUGAUACUUAUGAAGACUAUUGGGUAUAAUUGCCAAAUAAUACACUAUUAUAUAUUUCAUCUAUUUUUAACAUAGUUUUAUAAUUUAAAAAUACAUCAAAUGUUUGGAUGUCUUCUAGGAGACAGACAGACUUGAAAUUAAUUCAAUUUUAUAAAUGAUUCCCCUAAGAUUAAUAAUAAUAAAUGACAUGUUUAAAGUAUCUAAAUUGCAAUGUUAUAGAAGCAGAACAAAGCCCUAAUGUAAUAGUAAUCCUAGUGGGCUGUAGCAGCUGAAAUGAAAUGACUUUAAGCAGAUUUGGAUGGUUAUUACCCACAUGAAAUCCCUUAAGUGACUUUUCCCCUACUCACCCUUUCUUUUAGCAACUUCCUCACACCCCGUGGCCUAGGACUCUAGACAUGUUAAGAUAUGCUAAGGGAAUCAAAGAGUAGAACAUAGUCAUAAAUGGCAAAUCAUUUGACUUUACUACAUAAAAUGAAAAACUGAAGCACACUCUGUGAAAUCUAACAAGUUAUGCAUUGUGUAAAGAUAGGCAUUAUAAAAAAAACUUUUCCUCUUUGGAACAUUUAUAAAAGAAAUGAUAUAAACAUAAAUGACGUCCAUGCAAUCAGUUUAAGAAAAAUAUUAUAAAAAUGUUCUUAUUGUCUCACAACUUUGUUAGACUUUAUAACUACCUCCAUACUAAUGAAUGUCAAUAGUCAGGUUAUAUUUCUGUUUUCAUUCAUUUUCUAGUAUACUUCAGCCUAUAAGGUACAUUAUAAGGUAAGUAUUAGGGUCUUCUCUGUUGAAAGUAUUUGUUGUGAAACUAAAAUCAGAUCCUUACCUAAUUUAUUUGGUUGCAUGUUAAUUCUUCCAUAAAUUAUAUAGUACAGGAUAAAUGUGUCAAUACUGCUUUCAUUAAAUAAUUUUAAAAUUCAUUUGCCAAUGCAAAAAACAAAGAUCUUUUUUAAAGAAAAAAAAGUUAUGCAAAGAACAAAAUCCAUUUUCCAAUAAAGAUGUUAAGACCACAGUGAGGAAACAAAAAAUAUUAAAAUUAUUUGUCAAUGAAAAUCUGGUAUUCACUAUAUUUUUCUGUUAAUAUGAAUGUCUCAGCAUCAGUUUUGUUGGCUCACAAUAUAUUCAUGCAAUUUCACAGGAUGUGGCCUACAAGUUAACUUUUAUUUUUUACCAAUGAAGAAAAGACAGAAAUCUAAUAUUAAAUAAAGAAAUUCGUACUAAUAAAACUGUGGUAAUUCAUUUUUAAAAUAUGUAUUCAUUUCUUUCUUGCACAUUUUUCCUUUCUCUAUAGUAAUAUUUCUUAUUCAUUUCUUAAAAUUACUUUUGGUAAAAAAAUUAAAGCAAGUAUUAUUCUCCAUUACACUUAUAUUGUUGUUAGAAUCUCAAUGAAUAGUUUCCUCUACUUUUCUAUUGAAUAAUUUUAUGUAAAAUUCAUACUGUUUGUGAACACAUUUCUUUUAAUUAUAUACCCAAAUAAUUUUUUCUUAAAUAUUACUGAGCUGAAAUAUUUAAAUAUUAGCUAAAAUGUACUAUUAGGGAAUGAUAUCCUCAGUUAAUGACAAGAUAUGAGCUAUGUAGCCAAUUUUAUUUCAGGUAGAAAUUAUGGAAAACCUGCUCCUACUAUAUAUUCUAUUAUGCCAUGAAAAUCUGUAUCUCUGAUAUUCAAAAUGCAUCAGUAAAAAAUCCAAUAACAAUGCAAAAUUAGAAUAGAAUCAGUAAGGUUCUUAGAAUGUGAUCAAAUUAAACUAGGGCCUAAAAGUUCAAUAUUGUCUCAUAUUCAAGAAGAAUCACCUUAAGGUAAAAGCCAGGACCUCCACAGUUGAAUAAAAGGACACAGAUCAAUGAGUUACAUGAUGACAUUAAAAGACAAUGAUAAAUCUAUGUUCAUUGCAACAAUUGGGCCUAUAUGAAACCUAAAAGUGAAUGUAAAAUAAUGUGUUUUGUUGAAAACAUUAUAAUCAGAUGUAUUUGUUGUAUUACUAACUGACCCAAAAGAUUAGCAGACCCAUUAUGAAAACCAAGUAAUGUUGGUGUUUCACCUCCAUUGAAUCUUUGAGUGCUUCUUGAGAACCCAGGUAGUGUGAUUACAUCUAAUGUUACUACAAGUGAGGCACUGUAGCUCUUAGCUCUUGGGUCUGGCUGCCAUAACUAAAUACCAUAUACUGGGGGGCUUAAACAACAGAAACUAAUUUUCUCACAUUUCUGUAGCUAGAAGUCUAAGAUCACCAUACCAGCAUAAUUGGUUUCUGGUGAGAUAAUUUUUCCUUGCUUGAGGAUGGCAGCCUUCUCUAUGUCCUUACAUAGUUGAGGAAGAGAGAUAGAAAAAGCUCUCUUACGUCUAUUCUUAUAACCCUAUACUGAGGACUCCACCCUCAUAAUUUUAUCUAAACCUAGUUAUCUCUUAAAUUCCCCAUCUCCAAAUACCAUGGCAUUGUGGGGUUAGGGCUUAACCAUAUAAAUUUGGGAGAUGGGGACACAAUUCAAUCCAUAUAACUGAUUAUAUUAAAAUGAGCAACAGAAAAAUCAUUAGCACUAUUUGAUAUAACAUCAUGAUCUGUUGCCCCUAUACUAUUGUCUUUUCAAAUAAAUGUUUACAUUGACAGUAUUCAAUCAAAGAUAACUAAGCAGGUCUGAAAAUGCACAAUAUGCCAAAAAAUGAAGAAAAGGGGCAUAAAAAUCUACAUUAUUAAAAGAUCUAUAGAUGCUCCAGUUGUUGCAGUUAGCUUAAAGAAACUUUGCGGUAUACAGAAUUUUAAGAUGAUCAAGUUUCCUGUCCCUGAUUUAUACAUACAGACUUAUGUUUUCAAAAAUUAAUCCAGGUAUAGCUAUGAAGGAGUUUUUGAAGAUACAAUCAAGGUUCUAAAUCAGUUGAUCAUAAGAUACACAGAUAAUCCUCGAUGGGACUGAUCUAAUCAGGAAAACUCUUGAAAGGGUCAAGUCUUCUCUUGGCUAAAGGUCUUGGAAGUGUCAGAAAGAUUCAAAUUUAAAAGAAAAUCAUGGGAGAAAUGAAAUUCCUUUUGCAUCAUCACUUUCAUCUAGGAUAUACUCAAAUGCAUAUGAAAUUACUUGAGCCAUAUCUAUUUUAGUAAUUUGUUGCAAAAUAUAUCAAAUGUAAAAAAGAAAAAAAUUAUAUAGUUAUUUUAGUUAUACCCAUGUCAUCACCAAAGAGAAUUUCAUAACUUACUGUUUUGGAGUUUUAUUUUUUGGUUGUUACUUAGAUUUUUCUUUUUUUUAUGUAUUUUUUGCAUUUGGGUGGUUACUUCUGUGAAUUGUUUAUUCAUAGAAUUUGCAUAUUUACCUGUGUAUAUUUCUUUUUCUUUAUUGGUUUUACAAUAUGUUUAUAUUAUAGCUAUUGAUUCUAUUUUAUAUAUUCUGAAAACAUAUUUUCCAGAUAAUAAUAUAAGCUUGUAGGGUUUUUUUUUUAUUUUCUUUCUUUACUGUAUAUUUUUAUACUGGAAUGUUGAAUUUUGAUAUAAUUAGUAAUCAAUUCUUUACUUUCAUCUUUUUUUGUCUCAUUCAGAAAGUGUUCUCCACUCUAAAAAUAAAAUGGUUUGCUCACUGUUUAAAUUAAUUUUCAUAAAUUAUAAAAUACUGUUAAAAUGAGUGAAUUAGAAUAAAGAUAAAUAUUUUCACAAACUGUACACCUCCAUGUAACCAGAAUCUGAAUAAAUAUAAGUAAGAAUAACCAACAGUCAAGAGGCCCUCCCAUUCUCCCCUCAUCAGAGUAAUCACUAUCAUUUAUCUAACACCAUAAGUUUAUCUUGCUAGUUGUUGAAUUUUAUACAAAUGGAAUCCUAUAGUAUAUAUUGUGUCAAAUCAUAAAUGCAUGCUUUUCUGCACUGUCAUUUGCACACUCAACACUACAUAUUUUGAUUUUUUUUCUUAUGGGUUUUCAUAUACUUACAAUGAGGCUGUAUCAUUUUGAUUAUAAAAUCACUAAAUACUCUUUCAAAUAAAAUCUCUACCUCAUUGGCAUAUUGUCAUGUACCCAGUGCCUAUCUAAUGAAUCCAAGUGUGUUCCAGUUGUGACUUUCAAAUUUUUCUGCUCAGCCACAGCUUUCUCACAGGUGCUUCAUGGUAGGCCAAGUGAAUGAAUUGUGGAAGACAAAUGCAUAGGUAUAGUAUGAUCCCAACACGCUGCACAAUGAUCAUCCACUGAUUUCUUGGCUUGUUUUUUAAAAUAGAUUCCAUUUUGAGAAUACUGAGAUGAUUCAGUAUAUUCAGAAAUACAACUUGGGCAAACCUUCUUGCCAGACCUUGAUCCUGGAGGUUUGCUUAAGGAUUUUGAAAUAAAAUCUGAAUGAGACGAGAGGAAGGUUAAAAAAAAAAAAAAAAAAAAAGAACCUGUGGUUAUAAAGAGAAAUUUAAGAUUAACUGCAAAUAAUUAGCAGUUUAUACUUAAUAUAGCAUUCCUAUACAUUAUGCUAUUUGUCUUAGGAAUUACUAUCAUCAAGUGAUGAAUAUAGAAAAUAAAGCUCAGCUGUUGCCUAAGUUUCUAUGAUUAGAUGUUGGUCCUAUAAAAAUUCAAACUAAGGUUUUCUCACUCUCAUUUCACUGUUUUGACUUUUCCUAAUAACAACAAAAUAUGUCAGUUAAAUUGUAUCUCUAGGGUUGAAAAUAUGAUUGUUGUGAUUUUAUGCUAUCACAGUAUAGAAUAAUGUACUAGAAUAAAGAAAUUGUGGCCAGGCACGGUGGCUCACGCCUGUAAUCCCAGCACUUUGGGAGGCCAAGGCAGGCAGAUCACGAGGUCAGGAGAUCGAGACCAUCCUGGCUAACAUGGUGAAACCUCGUCUCUACUAAAAAAAUACAAAAAAUUAGCUGGGCGUGGUGGUGGGCGCCUGUAGUCCCAGCUACUCGGGAGGCUGAGGCAGGAGAAUGGCGUGAACCCGGGAGGCAGAGUUUGCAGUGAGCCGAGAUAGCGCCACUGCAGUCCUGCCUAAGCAAAAGAGCGAGGUUCCGUCUCAAAAACAAACAAAAACAAAAGAAACUGCUCAGUUGAAGCAAUUCAAACUUAAGGGGCAGCAGCAAACUAAAAUUUGUAUUUAAUUCAAUUAUAUAUUAAAAAGUAAAAACAUAAUGGGAAAUGAUAAAGGUAGUAGCAUGCUUUAGAAAGGCAAUUGCAUUUAUAAUCCAUGGGGAGCAUGUAGAGGCCAUCUGAGGACCUCAAUAUUUCAUACAAGAGGCUAUCAAAGGUAAUCCAGGUAUCAAGGUGUUUUCUAUAUUCUUCUAAUUUAUGUUCAACAAAAUAAUCUAAAGAUCAAAACAUUAAAAUGGAAUGUAGAUUGUUAACCUUUUCAGAAAUAUGUUGUGAUUUUUUUUCUGAAUCCUCAUUCAGUCAUUAAAUUAUUUUUAUGUACUAAAAUCAGCUGUAAAAACAGAAAUGACUCUUAUUUGGAAAAUGUAUUUAGAGUAAAAUAAUCAUGGAAGAGUUUGGUUGGUUAUAAUAUACUUUACAUAAGAUUUAUAAAAGCUAAUACUUUUUACCAACUACUUACCCUGAGUAAUGUCUUGCUCUGAAUAAUAAUAGUGAACAAAUAUAAAUAAGUAUUAAUAUAGAGCUCAUAUCUUCAGAGACUUUCAUAUAUAUAGAAAGAUAUGAGAAAAAUAUAUGAAGUAUCAAGAAUGGGAUAUUAUACUGUAUAAAUAUUUUUGAUUUUAUAGGUGAAUAGUUCAGAAGACUGAAUGAUUAAUUUGUCAUAAUCUGAAAUAAAUGAGCAUACUUAAAAUUACAUUUAAGCUUUUCAUAGAAAAUACGGGUCAGAAAUAAGAAAGGAUACAUGUUCUAUGUGCAUUUCACGUGCACUAUCAUUAUGAUUUUUACAACAAUGUUAUAUAUAACAUAAAUAUAUAUAAAAUCAACGUGUUUAUGUUCCAUGUCAUUUAAUUUUUAUUUUGCCCUAUCAAGGUUUAAAUCUUAUUUGAGAAAUAUUUUAUUUGGAAGCAGUAACAAGUUUAUUGGAAUCCAAACUGAAGAUUUAUAUCUCCUCAUAUUGAAGAAA